Molecule: long non-coding RNA, 809 nt
Organism: Malaclemys terrapin pileata
Lineage: Eukaryota; Metazoa; Chordata; Testudines; Emydidae
Exons: 4
Source: RefSeq, a predicted model, not a curated record
UACGCCACCCAGGGAAUUUCCAGCUGCUCUCUGAUAUCCCUUGCUUCCAUCUGGCUAUUCUUUUCACUCUUCUCUGGCAGUGUGAAUGGGGCAAUGACUAUGGACCGGGAUCUGGACCAAGGAGAUUAAACUCAGCAGGAAGUUUGAAAAGGCUCCCUGCUUCAUACAGUGAAAAGAAAGGAUGUAUCAGGGUUGUGUAGUGAAGAAGACUGUUGUCUAUAGGACUCCUGCUUUAUUUGUUGCAGAAGUUGGAAGACUUGCCUUAUGCAUUGAGUAUUUACAGUAACUGCUCCCAAAACUAGAAGAGAAUCCUAAAAGAAAGUUAAAUUUCAUCUUCUGAAUGGAUAUUUAAAGCACUUCCUCAAAUUCAGAACUGCCGUUAUCUUCUGAGGAUUCACAAAGGAAUACUGGUUGAUGAAAGGAUGUUUUUCUACUCCCACUAUCAGGCAUAGUCCAUGUUGUAAAUGCUUUAGCUCCUGUUAUUUGUACUGCAUCUUCUUGUGGUCUUUUCACAGUUCAUUAAGAAGAGGAGGAGGAAAAAGAACAGACUGUCAGUUCCAUCAUUAAACUGUGCCAGUAGUACAACUGAGGGAGUAACAUGCUCCACUAACUCAUGUUUGGCUGAUAAACCAGAAAAACCUGGCAAGCCUUUGAGAGUCAGUCACAGACAGUCUGAUUGUAGCAUUCUAUAGAGUGCUUCCACUUUUUCAUUAUGUUUGGCAUUUCUGACCUGUGCUAGAAACUAGAAGCCUGGGGUACUGUGCUGUAAGGAUGAGAUUUUACCAAGCUACAGACCACAUUGAAUGAAA